RNAcentral lists this ribosomal RNA (253 nucleotides) under uncultured bacterium. RNAcentral's name for it is "partial 16S ribosomal RNA". It matches the Rfam family "Bacterial small subunit ribosomal RNA", at positions 524 to 776 of the family's 1533-position model. The record is from RNAcentral.
UACGUAGGGAGCAAGCGUUGUCCGGAUUCACUGGGGGUAAAGGGUGCGCAGGCGGAUUUGUAAGUCAGAGGUGAAAUCUCACGGCUUAACCGUGAAACUGCCUUUGAUACUGCAGAUCUUGAGUUUGGGAGAGGUUGAUGGAAUUCCAGGUGUAGCGGUGAAAUGCGUAGAUAUCUGGAAGAACACCAGUGGCGAAGGCGGUCAACUGGCCCAUAACUGACGCUCAGGCACGAAAGCGUGGGGAGCGAACAGG